GUGAGGAAUAUUGGUCAAUGGACGAGAGUCUGAACCAGCCAAGUCGCGUGAAGGAAGACGGUUCUAUGAAUUGUAAACUUCUUUUGUGCAGGAAUAAAGUGGGUUACGUGUAACCUUUUGUAUGUACUGUACGAAUAAGGAUCGGCUAACUCCGUGCCAGCAGCCGCGGUAAUACGGAGGAUCCGAGCGUUAUCCGGAUUUAUUGGGUUUAAAGGGUGCGUAGGUGGAUUGAUAAGUCAGCGGUGAAAGUUUGCAGCUUAACUGUAAAAUUGACGUUGAAACUGUCGGUCUUGAGUGCAAAUGAGGUAGGCGGAAUGUGUUGUGUAGCGGUGAAAUGCUUAGAUAUAACACAGAACUCCGAUUGCGAAGGCAGCUUACUGGGAUGCAACUGACACUGAUGCACGAAAGCGUGGGUAUCAAACAGGAUUAGAAACCCCGGUAGUCC
RNAcentral lists this ribosomal RNA (445 nucleotides) under uncultured bacterium. RNAcentral's name for it is "partial 16S ribosomal RNA". It matches the Rfam family "Bacterial small subunit ribosomal RNA", at positions 354 to 796 of the family's 1533-position model. The record is from RNAcentral.